RNAcentral lists this ribosomal RNA (460 nucleotides) under uncultured bacterium. Its description in RNAcentral is "partial 16S ribosomal RNA". It matches the Rfam family "Bacterial small subunit ribosomal RNA", at positions 338 to 795 of the family's 1533-position model. The record is from RNAcentral.
CCUACGGGUGGCAGCAGUGAGGAAUAUUGGUCAAUGGCCGUAAGGCUGAACCAGCCAAGUCGCGUGAAGGAAGAAGGAUCUAUGGUUUGUAAACUUCUUUUAUAGGGGAAUAAAGGUAUCCACGUGUGGAUAUUUGCAUGUACCCUAUGAAUAAGCAUCGGCUAACUCCGUGCCAGCAGCCGCGGUAAUACGGAGGAUCCGAGCGUUAUCCGGAUUUAUUGGGUUUAAAGGGUGCGUAGGCGGCCUUUUAAGUCAGCGGUGAAAGUCUGUGGCUCAACCAUAGAAUUGCCGUUGAAACUGGGAGGCUUGAGUAUGUUUGAGGCAGGCGGAAUGCGUGGUGUAGCGGUGAAAUGCUUAGAUAUCACGCAGAACCCCGAUUGCGAAGGCAGCCUGCCAAGCCAUGACUGACGCUGAUGCACGAAAGCGUGGGGAUCAAACAGGAUUAGAUACCCCAGUAGUC